RNAcentral lists this ribosomal RNA (253 nucleotides) under uncultured bacterium. RNAcentral describes it as "partial 16S ribosomal RNA". It matches the Rfam family "Bacterial small subunit ribosomal RNA", at positions 524 to 776 of the family's 1533-position model. The record is from RNAcentral.
UACGGAGGAUCCGAGCGUUAUCCGGAUUUAUUGGGUUUAAAGGGAGCGUAGGCGGGUUGUUAAGUCAGUUGUGAAAGUUUGCGGCUCAACCGUAAAAUUGCAGUUGAUACUGGCAUCCUUGAGUACAGUAGAGGUAGGCGGAAUUCGUGGUGUAGCGGUGAAAUGCUUAGAUAUCACGAAGAACUCCGAUUGCGAAGGCAGCCUGCUGGACUGUAACUGACGCUGAUGCUCGAAAGUGUGGGUAUCAAUCAGG